RNAcentral lists this ribosomal RNA (426 nucleotides) under uncultured bacterium. RNAcentral's name for it is "bacterial SSU rRNA". It matches the Rfam family "Bacterial small subunit ribosomal RNA", at positions 8 to 434 of the family's 1533-position model. The record is from RNAcentral.
AGAGUUUGAUCAUGGCUCAGAUUGAACGCUGGCGGCACGCCUUACACAUGCAAGUCGAACGGCAGCACGGGUGCUUGCACCUGGUGGCGAGUGGCGAACGGGUGAGUAAUGUAUCGGAACGUACCAUUCAGUGGGGGAUAACUAUCCGAAAGGAUAGCUAAUACCGCAUAUUCUGUGAGCAGGAAAGCAGGGGAUCGCAAGACCUUGCGCUGAUUGAGCGGCCGAUAUCAGAUUAGCUAGUUGGUGGGGUAAAAGCCUACCAAGGCGACGAUCUGUAGCGGGUCUGAGAGGAUGAUCCGCCACACUGGAACUGAGACACGGUCCAGACUCCUACGGGAGGCAGCAGUGGGGAAUUUUGGACAAUGGGCGAAAGCCUGAUCCAGCCAUGCCGCGUGAGUGAAGAAGGCCUUCGGGUUGUAAAGCUCU